AAACCAACAGGGAUUGCCCCAGUAACGGCGAGUGAGCGGCAAGAGCUCAAAUUUGAAAUCUGGCCUCCCCCGGGGGUCCGAGUUGUAAUUUGCAGAGGAUGCUUCGGGCGCGGCCCCCGUCUAAGUUCCUUGGAACAGGACGUCAGAGAGGGUGAGAAUCCCGUCUUGGGCGGGCGGCCCGCGCCCGUGUGAAGCUCCUUCGACGAGUCGAGUUGUUUGGGAAUGCAGCUCUAAGCGGGUGGUAAAUUUCAUCUAAAGCUAAAUACCGGCCGGAGACCGAUAGCGCACAAGUAGAGUGAUCGAAAGGUUAAAAGCACCUUGAAAAGGGAGUUAAACAGCACGUGAAAUUGUUGAAAGGGAAGCGCUUGCGGCCAGACUCGGGGGGCGGGGUUCAGCGGGCGCUCGUCGCCCGUGCACUGCCCGCUCCCCGGGCCAGCAUCAGCUUCGACGGCCGGUCAAAGGCCCCCGGAAUGUGUCGUCUCUAGGGACGUCUUAUAGCCGGGGGUGCAAUGCGGCCCGUCGAGACUGAGGAACGCGCUCCGGCUCGGAUGCUGGCGUAAUGGCCGUAAGCGGC
RNAcentral lists this ribosomal RNA (574 nucleotides) under Trichophyton rubrum. RNAcentral's name for it is "partial large subunit ribosomal RNA". It matches the Rfam family "Eukaryotic large subunit ribosomal RNA", at positions 62 to 648 of the family's 3401-position model. The record is from RNAcentral. Lineage: Eukaryota; Fungi; Ascomycota; Eurotiomycetes; Onygenales; Arthrodermataceae.